This 309-nucleotide ribosomal RNA is filed under the name Klebsiella pneumoniae. RNAcentral's name for it is "bacterial SSU rRNA". It matches the Rfam family "Bacterial small subunit ribosomal RNA", at positions 456 to 764 of the family's 1533-position model. The record is from RNAcentral. Lineage: Bacteria; Pseudomonadati; Pseudomonadota; Gammaproteobacteria; Enterobacterales; Enterobacteriaceae.
AUAACCUCAUCGAUUGACGUUACCCGCAGAAGAAGCACCGGCUAACUCCGUGCCAGCAGCCGCGGUAAUACGGAGGGUGCAAGCGUUAAUCGGAAUUACUGGGCGUAAAGCGCACGCAGGCGGUCUGUCAAGUCGGAUGUGAAAUCCCCGGGCUUAACCUGGGAACUGCAUUCGAAACUGGCAGGCUAGAGUCUUGUAGAGGGGGGUAGAAUUCCAGGUGUAGCGGUGAAAUGCGUAGAGAUCUGGAGGAAUACCGGUGGCGAAGGCGGCCCCCUGGACAAAGACUGACGCUCAGGUGCGAAAGCGUGG